UCCUAUGAUGCAGGCCUUACUAGGUGCAGU
Molecule: non-coding RNA, 30 nt
Filed under: Mus musculus (house mouse)
Lineage: Eukaryota; Metazoa; Chordata; Mammalia; Rodentia; Muridae
Source: RNAcentral